This 253-nucleotide ribosomal RNA is filed under the name uncultured bacterium. Its description in RNAcentral is "partial 16S ribosomal RNA". It matches the Rfam family "Bacterial small subunit ribosomal RNA", at positions 524 to 776 of the family's 1533-position model. The record is from RNAcentral.
UACGGAGGGUGCGAGCGUUGUUCGGAAUCAUUGGGCGUAAAGCGCGUGUAGGCGGCUUGGCAAGUCGGGUGUGAAAUCCCGGGGCCCAACCCCGGAACUGCAUUCGAAACUGCCUCGCUAGAGUCCCGGAGAGGAAGGCGGAAUUCCCGGUGUAGAGGUGAAAUUCGUAGAUAUCGGGAGGAACACCAGCGGCGAAGGCGGCCUUCUGGACGGUGACUGACGAUGAGACGCGGAAGCGUGGGGAGCAAACAGG